GGCUUAUUGAGUAUAAUUUUAGGUYUGACCUGCCCUAUGAGAUGUUAAAUGGCUGCAGUAUACUAACUGUACAAAGGUAGCAUAAUCAUUUGUUUUUUAAUUGAAAGCUAGAAUGAAAGGUUUGAUGAGAAAAUUUCUGUCUCUGUGAAAAUUUAUUAGAAUUUUAUUUUUAAGUGAAAAAGCUUAAAUUUGUAUAGAAGACGAGAAGACCCUAUAGAGUUUAAUAUUUUUUAGGAUUUAAUUUAUAUAUAGGUAUAAAAUUAUUUUUUUUUAAAAAUUAUUUUGUUGGGGUGAUAGAAAAAUUUGUUAAACUUUUUAUUAUUGAAAUACUAAUUUGUAAGUGAGUGAUCCCUUGUUUGUUUGGAUUAAAAGAUUAAAUUACCUUAGGGAUAACAGCGUUAUUUUUUUUAGAGUUCUUAUCGAAGAAAAAGAUUGCGACCUCGAUGUUGGAUUAAAAUUUAUUGUUGGUGAAGAAGCUAACAAAUAUAGGUCUGUUCGACCUUUGAAAUUUUACAUGAUCUGAGUUUAAACCGGUGUGAG
RNAcentral lists this ribosomal RNA (540 nucleotides) under Trigonopterus sp. 148 AR-2022a. RNAcentral describes it as "partial large subunit ribosomal RNA". Lineage: Eukaryota; Metazoa; Arthropoda; Insecta; Coleoptera; Curculionidae. The record is from RNAcentral.